CUACGGGAGGCAGCAGCAGGGAAUAUUGCGCAAUGGGCGAAAGCCUGACGCAGCAACGCCGCGUGGGGGAUGACGGCCUUCGGGUUGUAAACCCCUUUCGGGAGGGAAGAAAUUGACGGUACCUCCUAAAGAAGCCCCGGCCAACUACGUGCCAGCAGCCGCGGUAAUACGUAGGGGGCAAGCGUUGUCCGGAAUCAUUGGGCGUAAAGAGCUCGUAGGCGGCUCAGUAAGUCGGCUGUGAAAGCCCGGGGCUCAACCCCGGAACUGCAGUCGAUACUGCUGUGGCUAGAGUCCGGUAGAGGAGAGUGGAAUUCCCGGUGUAGCGGUGGAAUGCGCAGAUAUCGGGAGGAACACCAGUAGCGAAGGCGGCUCUCUGGGCCGGUACUGACGCUGAGGAGCGAAAGCGUGGGGAGCAAACAGGAUUAGAAACCCUUGUAGUCC
This 441-nucleotide ribosomal RNA is filed under the name uncultured bacterium. Its description in RNAcentral is "bacterial SSU rRNA". It matches the Rfam family "Bacterial small subunit ribosomal RNA", at positions 339 to 796 of the family's 1533-position model. The record is from RNAcentral.